This 506-nucleotide ribosomal RNA is filed under the name uncultured bacterium. RNAcentral's name for it is "partial 16S ribosomal RNA". It matches the Rfam family "Bacterial small subunit ribosomal RNA", at positions 30 to 523 of the family's 1533-position model. The record is from RNAcentral.
AUUGAACGCUGGCGGCAGGCUUAACACAUGCAAGUCGAGCGGUAACAGAGAGAAGCUUGCUUCUCUGCUGACGAGCGGCGGACGGGUGAGUAAUGCCUAGGAAUCUGCCUAGUAGUGGGGGAUAACUUGCCGAAAGGUAAGCUGAUACCGCAUACGUCCUACGGGAGAAAGGAGGGGACCUUCGGGCCUUUCGCUAUUAGAUGAGCCUAGGUCGGAUUAGUUAGUUGGUUAGGUAAUGGCUCACCAAGACCGCGAUCCGUAACUGGUCUGAGAGGAGGAUCAGUCGCACUGGAACUGAGACACGUUCCAGGCUCCUACGGGAGGCAGCAGUGGGGAAGAUUGGACAAUGGGGUGAACCCUUAUCCAGCCAUGCCGCGUGUGUGAAGAAGGUCUUAGGAUUGUAAAGCACUUUAAGUUGGGAGGAAGAGCAGUUAACUAAUAUUUGACUGUUUUGACGUUACCGACAGAAUAAGCACCGGCUAACUUCGUGCCAGCCGCCGCCGUAA